Molecule: ribosomal RNA, 492 nt
Filed under: uncultured bacterium
Lineage: Bacteria
Description: partial 16S ribosomal RNA
Rfam family: Bacterial small subunit ribosomal RNA
Source: RNAcentral
AGUGAACGCUGGCGGUAGGCCUAACGCAUGCAAGUCGAACGGCAGCACAGUAAGAGCUUGCUCUUACGGGUGGCGAGUGGCGGACGGGUGAGGAAUACAUCGGAAUCUACUUUUUCGUGGGGGAUAACGUAGGGAAACUUACGCUAAUACCGCAUACGACCUACGGGUGAAAGCAGGGGAUCUUCGGACCUUGCGCGACUGAAUGAGCCGAUGUCGGAUUAGCUAGUUGGCGGGGUAAAGGCCCACCAAGGCGACGAUGCGUAGCUGGUCUGAGAGGAUGAUCAGCCACACUGGAACUGAGACACGGUCCAGACUCCUACGGGAGGCAGCAGUGGGGAAUAUUGGACAAUGGGCGCAAGCCUGAUCCAGCCAUACCGCGUGAGUGAAGAAGGCCUUCGGGUUGUAAAGCCCUUUUGUUGGGAAAGAAAAGCAGUAGGUUAAUACCCCGCUGUUCUGACGGUACCCAAAGAAUAAGCACCGGCUAACUUCGUG